This 1241-nucleotide ribosomal RNA is filed under the name metagenome. RNAcentral's name for it is "SSU rRNA". It matches the Rfam family "Eukaryotic small subunit ribosomal RNA", at positions 182 to 1475 of the family's 1831-position model. The record is from RNAcentral.
CCCGACUUUAUGGAAGGGUGGUAUUUAUUAGACUGAAACCAAUAUUCCUUGUGUCUAUUGCGGUGAUUCAUAAUAACUGAUCGAAUCUCUUUUUGAGAUAAAUCAUUCAAGUUUCUGCCCUAUCAGCUUUCGAUGGUAGUGUAUUGGACUACCAUGGCAGUAACGGGUAACGAAGAAUUAGGGUUCGAUUUCGGAGAGGGAGCAUGAGAAACGGCUACCACAUCUAAGGAAGGCAGCAGGCGCGUAAAUUACCCAAUCCUGACUCAGGGAGGUAGUGACAAGAAAUAGCAAACCGGGAACCUCAUGGUUUCACGGUAUUGCAAUGAGAACAAUUUAAAACCCUUAGCGAGAAUCAAGUGGAGGACAAGUCUGGUGCCAGCACCCGCGGUAAUUCCAGCUCCACUAGCGUAUAUUAAAGUUGUUGCAGUUAAAAAGCUCGUAGUUGAACCUCUGUCUGGGGCUAGUUUUGGCUUUGGUCAGGCUAGUUCUAGGCAUCCGCCUACAAGACUUAGAGGGCAUUCAGUUGUUCACUAGGAGGAGUAGGCAUUUUACUUUGAAAAAAUUAGAGUGUUUAAGGCAGGCAAUCGCCCGCAUAUAUUAGCAUGGAAUAAUAGAAUAGGACACUUUUCCAUUUCGUUGGUUAUUGGAAUCGUGUAAUGAUUAAUAGGGACAGUUGUGGGCAUUUGUAUUUAAUUGUCAGAGGUGAAAUUCUUGGAUUUAUUAAAGACAAACUAACGCGAAAGCAUUUGCCAAGGAUGUUUUCAUUAAUCAAGAACGAAAGUUAGGGGAUCAAAGACGAUCAGAUACCGUCCUAGUCUUAACUAUAAACUAUUCCGACUCAAUGUUUGACUGGCUUAUAUAACCAGUUGAGCGUUGUAUGAGAAAUCAAAGUCUUUAGGUUCUGGGGGGAGUAUGGUUGCAAAGCUGAAACUUAAAGGAAUUGACGGAAGAGCACAACCAGGAGUGGAUUCUGCGGCUUAAUUUGACUCAACACGGGGAAACUUACCAGGUUAAAACAAUAGUGGGAUUGACAGUUUGAGAGCGCUUUCUUGAUUGGUUGGGUGGUGGUGCAUGGCCGUUCUUAGUUGGUGGAGUGAUUUGUCUGCUUAAUUGCGUUAACGAACGAGACCUUAACCUGCUUACUAGACUGGCGAUCAUCAAUCGUUAGCUCUUCUUAGAGGGACUUUGGUCGUUUUAACUCCAAGGAAGUUUGAGGCAAUAACAGGUCUGUGAUGCCCUUA